AAUUGUAUUUUUUGAUUAUAUAAAAAGUCUAAAGCUUUGAAACCUUUAAGGUGUAGAAAGCUGAAGUAGAAAAUUAAGUUAAACAAAAAAAUUAGGGUUGUGAGAUCUGAUAGGAGUAGUAAAUACUAUGAAAGAUAUGAUAAAUCUGACCAUAAUCCUGAAUCUUUUACUAAAUUUUUUGAACAGCAUGGCAUUAUAGCAC
This 202-nucleotide long non-coding RNA is filed under the name Elaeis guineensis (African oil palm). Its description in RNAcentral is "long non-coding RNA (EGUI_LNC013285)". The record is from RNAcentral. Lineage: Eukaryota; Viridiplantae; Streptophyta; Magnoliopsida; Arecales; Arecaceae.